This is a long non-coding RNA of Anopheles coustani, 696 nucleotides long. RefSeq lists it as uncharacterized. The transcript has 4 exons. Lineage: Eukaryota; Metazoa; Arthropoda; Insecta; Diptera; Culicidae. The record is from RefSeq and is a predicted model, not a curated record.
AAUAGACGUCAAAUUACCGUGCUAGGAAAAAAUAAUGCGAACUUUUUCGGUUUCAGUUUUUGGUUAUAUAGUAUAAUGUUGUUCUUUAAAGCACAGUGAUGGAAUGUUGUUGAUUUAAUCCGUCAAAAAGUUUGCCACCUCAAAAAGAGACAAACAAUGCGCAGUGGGCACAGAGUUUAAGAAGAAACACGUGGAAAUGAAGAUACCUGCGGAAAUGAAUACUUUAAAAUUCAAUUAACUCCCUCGAAGCACGAAGGAAGUGCUUACAUAAAAAGAAGGAAUGCAUAGUGUGUGUAUUGAUGUUUGUGAAAACAAAGAUAAUCAGAAUUUUACAGUGUUGUGUGUUGUUCAGUUUUUUGAAGUUGAAAUUUCUUCUGAUACUAAUGUCGAUUCAGUCAUGGUUUUGUUGGUGAUUAUGUUAAAUAACAGAGACGAACAUGAUGGGAGUUCUUUCUUAAUUGAUCGUUUUAAAAUGGUGAGUGUUGUUGAUAUUUCUUUGCUUUUUUUAAAUUCUUGUUAACUGAUGAAUGUUAUGAAUGAAAUUGUACUUGUUCUCCUCCCCAUACAAUUUUUCAUGUUGGACGAUACGCUUGAUUUGAUUUCGAAAGGGUUAUGUUCGCACAUAUUAUGCUCAACAUAAUUUUGCUGCUGUCACUUUUAAAUGGCAUUAAAUGAAGGCUGUCUAUACUUGUGGUA